RNAcentral lists this ribosomal RNA (253 nucleotides) under uncultured bacterium. Its description in RNAcentral is "partial 16S ribosomal RNA". It matches the Rfam family "Bacterial small subunit ribosomal RNA", at positions 524 to 776 of the family's 1533-position model. The record is from RNAcentral.
UACGUAGGGGGCGAGCGUUGUCCGAAGUUACUGGGCGUAAAGCGCGCGUAGGCGGGGGGUUAAGUGGGAGGUGAAAGGCUGGGGCUCAACCCCAGCAGUGCCUCCCAUACUGGCCUUCUUGAGGGCGGUAGGGAGAAGUGGAAUGGCUGGUGUAGCGGUGAAAUGCGUAGAUAUCAGUCGGAACACCGGUGGCGAAGGCGGCUUCUUGGGCCGUUCCUGACGCUGAGGCGCGAAAGCUGGGGGAGCGAACGGG